UUGUGUUAAUAUAUGUUUAGUUGCAUUUUAUGUGUAGUGCAUGUCUCACAAAGUCUAGCUUUAUGGAAAUUUUGUCUAGCCAAUGAUGAUAGCGAAUUUUGAAUGAUUUUUGAGUAUGUUGGAUAACAUGAACCUAGUUAUAAUGUUUUACACAAUGAAAUUCAUGUUGCUGUUUAAAUGCUUUCGGUUUGCACGGAUGUGUUCACAAUUGCUUGGAAGUAUAAGAAUGAUAUGUUGCAUUGCUUAAUAAAAAAUGUGGUUUUAAAAAGAGAAAUAUGUGGAACAUGGAUUUAGACUGUGCAAAAUAUUGAUAUUCAAACUUUGGGAAAACAUGGGUAUGCUAUGUAUAAAAAAAAAUCAAAUAGCAAUAAUGUGGCUAGUCUUAUUUUGGGGCCCUGGCUAUUUGAGUAAGUACGCC
This 418-nucleotide long non-coding RNA is filed under the name Panax ginseng (ginseng). Its description in RNAcentral is "long non-coding RNA (PGIN_LNC001425)". Lineage: Eukaryota; Viridiplantae; Streptophyta; Magnoliopsida; Apiales; Araliaceae. The record is from RNAcentral.